This 476-nucleotide ribosomal RNA is filed under the name uncultured beta proteobacterium. RNAcentral describes it as "bacterial SSU rRNA". It matches the Rfam family "Bacterial small subunit ribosomal RNA", at positions 97 to 570 of the family's 1533-position model. The record is from RNAcentral. Lineage: Bacteria; Pseudomonadati; Pseudomonadota; Betaproteobacteria.
GGCGAACGGGUGAGUAAUAUAUCGGAACGUGCCUAGUAGUGGGGAACAACCAGCCGAAAGGUUGGCUAAUACCGCAUACGACUUACGGGUGAAAGCAGGGGAUCUUCGGACCUUGCGCUAUUAGAGCGGCCGAUAUCUGAUUAGGUAGUUGGUGGGGUAAAGGCCUACCAAGCCGACGAUCAGUAGCUGGUCUGAGAGGACGAUCAGCCACACUGGAACUGAGACACGGUCCAGACUCCUACGGGAGGCAGCAGUGGGGAAUUUUGGACAAUGGGGGAAACCCUGAUCCAGCCAUUCCGCGUGAGUGAAGAAGGCCUUCGGGUUGUAAAGCUCUUUCGCAAGGGAAGAAAUUUUAUUGUCGAAUAAACAGUAAAGAUGACGGUACCUUGAGAAGAAGCACCGGCUAACUACGUGCAGCAGCCGCGGUAAUACGUAGGGUGCGAGCGUUAAUCGGAAUUACUGGGCGUAAAGCGUGC